RNAcentral lists this long non-coding RNA (640 nucleotides) under Marmota monax (woodchuck). Lineage: Eukaryota; Metazoa; Chordata; Mammalia; Rodentia; Sciuridae. The record is from RNAcentral.
GACAAAUUUCUGCAUUUUCAGCUUUCUUGGAUAUGAUACCAAGAAUUUUGAAAUUGUUGAGUGAAAUGGUAAUUCUGACUUUUUGAGGAACUGACAAACUGUCCCAAAGCAGCUGCACUAUUGCAGAGGUCAAAUGGCAGGUUUUAAGAGUAAAUUUUCAUACUUAGGAUGUGACUUUAGGACACUAUUAAAACCUUAUAGAAAAAUAAAAAAUCAAUUCAAAUUGCUUUGUUAGUCUCUUGUCUGCCAUCUACCUGCUAAUAGUAAUUUCUUGUGGAAAUUCUAUAGUUAAAGUAAUCCAGUUUUCUUGAGCUGUUCUUAUGAUGUGGCUUAGAUUUUAGAAAAUAUUCUUAUUAUCUCACCCUUUUUAAUACCUGUGACCUUUGAGCAUUUCAUUGAUGCUUGGUGUUACUGACAAUUUUCCCCAAAUUAAGUAUAAGUUUAUUAAAGGUAAGAGCUCCCCAGGGAGCCAUAUACAUAGUUUCAGUUUAUUUAAAAUGCUUAUACAAUUCAUAUAUUAGUUACUGCACAGCCCAGCUUCUAGGCCACUGGGUCACAAAUUUCAGCUUCCUCUUUUUAGGUUCCUAACCUCCUAGACUUUAGAUAUUAAGAUUCCCAAGUGACUAUGCAAACAUACCAG